AUGGAGAUGCUCCCAUGGGUCUCCCUCCUCUGCCCAGCUGUUGAUUUUCGUGGAAUGCAGAGGAGUGCAAUUGCUUUUGAAAUGCUUCUUCUUGCUCAAAUUUAUGUGAAAGUGGCCAUGGAGUCAAAGCUUCUCGGGAAAGCUGCUUGGCAGGCAGGUUGUGGAGAUGUUUCAUUCUGUGGCCCUGCUGUAGGGUUAGGAUACUGCAGAAGACAACACAUUUGNNUGCUGCCUUCUUUGAGAUUCCAGUGUGACAAGCAAAGAAAUAGAGAUGCUGUCAGCUACGCACCUGCUUCUUCAAUUCAAGGGAAUAAAAAUACUUUGGAGAGACGAUUAGGGAUACAGCACUGAUAUUGUUAAAUCAGUUGCAGUAUACACGGAAAACAGAUAAAAACUUCUGUCUCUACGUGUGGCAUGUUCUGCUAGCGCUCACUAAAAGACAGUUUUACUCAUGAAACAUGGUUUUCAAGUUGCCUUCUCAGUUGUGCCUGCUAUUGGUCAUACUCAGUUCUGGCAAUGGUUCUUUUCUUUCUUUCUUUUUUUUGACUGAUACAUGCUAGUAAACCUUGAAAAACUAAAACAGGUUUCUAGCCAUUUGGGUCAUUAUAACCUUGAGUACAGAAUGGCAAUUUAUCCGCUAGGGGGAGGCCUGUAAAUACUAAUGGAUAAUUACCAUUGUGGCAGUAAAAGAGACGGUGAUAGACUCUAAAUCUUCUCCUGAUUUUUAAUGAAGGCAGAGUUAUCCUGAUCGCUGCGUAGACCCAGAUACCUCUUAAACCAGAGCUGGAGCUGUCUACUUGAGAGUUCUGUCUAAAUGACUAAGGAUGCACAGGGAAUGGUUAACCAAACAUGUAUAUUUUGUAAAUAUUACUUUAGCUUCCAUAGGCCAUUUAUAUCGUACUAAAAAACUGAGCUCUAAAAAUCCAAGAUGCCUUCUGCUGCUUAUGUUCUGUGUUUAACUUUGCUCUUCCGUGCAUACAGAUCACAGAAAUUGAAGUGGGUUUCACUUUGUUCACAGUCAGAUUUGCUUUCUCGUUUUAAGGCAGGGUUACAUCCCUUGUAGAAAAUAAAAAAUGAAAAGAAUAAAGAAUACUUUUUAAA
Molecule: long non-coding RNA, 1101 nt
Filed under: Struthio camelus australis
Lineage: Eukaryota; Metazoa; Chordata; Aves; Struthioniformes; Struthionidae
Description: lncRNA (ENSSCUG00000003388.1)
Source: RNAcentral